AUGACGGCAUCGCCGACCGGGACCAGAAACCCUGUCGCAAAGAUUUCCUCGAACCCCGACACAACAAAGUCAGCGACACGGGAAAUCCCUUAUCCCAAAAUACUGCAGGAUGGAGCCGUGGAAAGUUUCAGACCCCAGGAGGUUCAGGAGAAAGUCACCCAUGCUGAGCCUCUAUCGCCUCCCAAUGAGCAGGAGGCCGAAACAACAUCAGGGGACAACGGCUGCGAAGAGGACCGGAACCGUGUUGGUGUGGACCCGACACAGGACGGACCAGUCCUCCAGUCGGGGGUCAGUUCUCAGGUUGAGUCCGGCCUCAGCACUGAGCCACCCGUCAGCGAUAAAAUGAGUCAGCAUCAGUUUACAACAGCCCACCUGACGCCAUACUGUGUCAGAAUGACAGAGGAGCCCUGUGGGUUCUCAGAUGAGUCCGAUGUGGAAGUCCCUUUUGAAGAAUCGGUGGGAAGAGAAGAUAAGCAGGAGCUGCAUGCGCCAAUGGAUGCGCGUCCAGAGAAAGAGUUCAUAGGCGAAGAAAUAGAGCAAGUGCAAGAGGAACCGUCAGAUUCUGGAACAGAGGUGGGAUUUGAUCCAAACUUUGAUUCCAGGACAAGUAAACCAGUGUCUGAAGAGAGCUUGAUCCACAAAGUGACAGACUUCAACCCCGAUGAAAACAUCUUGAAGGAGGAGGCAGCCGAGACGAGGCAAGAAAUGAGCUCUUCUGUCGUGGGAACCAAUGAGAUGGAUGUUGAGGAUAAGUUGUACACGGAUGGAGAAGAGAUGGACACAUGGGAUAGUGUAAUCGAGAGGAAAAAGAAGACGGAAGAAGGCAUCAAAAAGGACGAAGAAAAAGGACAACACGCUGAACCAGAGGAAGAUAUAUCCGCCAGAGAUCAAAAGCAUGAAGAGAGAGAAAGUAGGUCUGAUUUAGGUGCUCAUCCAGACAACAACGAGGCUUCUUUCGUGACGGCCACACUCGUAGAUGACGAUGGACGACGUGUCGCUCUAGACCAAGAGCGCCCACUUUCCCCCGACAGCGAAGAAGACGACGACGACCAGGAUUCUCAAAAUGUGUCCGUGUCGUGGAGGACCGAGCUGGAGGGCGACAGCUACGCUCAGGAUAACACGCUCGCCGACACUCGGCCUCUGAUCCGAUACAAGAGCGACGAGGCCGACGCCAACACUCAGGCGUCGCACGUGGACGAGAGCGACUCCAGCGAGGGUGAUCAGGAGAAGAAGUUCGGAGAGACGGGGAUGUGGAGCGAAGGCAAGUCGAAGAGAUUUGGAACGAUGGAAGAUCUGUGCGAAGAAGUUGAAGGCGAAGCGCUGGAUGAGGAGUAUAAUCUGGGGUAUACUCACAUGGAGAACAGGGCUGCUGGUCAUGGUCAGACUGGAAGUGAGCAGGCCGCACUGGGCAACGCACAAGGAAUGAUCGGAGAGCUCAGUGACGGACAAUCGGAUGGAGAAACUGAAGAACUUACCGAACCCACGAAUAUGUGCAACGACGUGGAGCUGGAGACGGACCGACUUGUGGAGCAGGAGUUAGAGAACUUAGCCACGGACAGCUACAGCGCUCACUUUGCACAGCGGCGGGGGAGCGCGAGCGAGGAGACGCUGCAUCUGCAGGGCAAGUCCGUCGAGGAGAAGGCAGAGCCAGAAGAGGCUGGGAUGCAUUCCCGUGCAGAGUCACUUUCAUCUUCCAGUCCAGUUACAGAUCGACCUUACGAGAACCUGCAUGAAUCGUCGGUGGCGGAGCCUCAAGCAGACACUCUGGCGUAUGAGGAGGUGCAUCAUAAAGAUCAGGUGGCGACAGAUGCUCCAGAGGAAAGAGAGGAGGAGGAGCACAAUGCGUCCACGGUGACACACGCCGAUGCCACAGAAGAUCCCUCUCGCUUCGCUGACUUCAUCAGCAGGUCCGAUAUGGAAGAAAUCAACAACUCAGAGGAUCCAAACUCUGUGUUGCAGGUCUCAGCGGACCAGGAAGGCCUCCAGGGGGCGGCUGCCCCCGCGCAGGGGAAAGAGGAAGCAUCGAGUGCAUCUCUAGGACAUCUCGUUGAGGAUGUCGCAGACCGCAAGUUUCCAGAAACUCCAGAAACCGCUGAGUGGGAAGUCCUAGAGAACCCAAGUGAGGACUUUGAAUUCAGAGAUCAGAGUGAAGAUUAUGAAAAAUGGACUAAUGUGCUGGAAUCAGCUGAAAGUUAUCAGAACGACGGCGACGGCGGCUCCAAUGAGGGCGUCAUGACACGGAAGGAGACCCCGGAGGUUUCCCCCGGCAGUGCGCCUGAUGGAAACGACAUCUUUGUGGCCGAAUUGGUGAACACAAACGGCAAAGACAACCUCCACGGUUUCUUUACCUCUGGCUUAACGGAUGACAUCUGGGAGACCGGUGCCGCCUAUCGGCCCGAUGAGGCCCGUAACGAAGCAGCGGGGCAAACCAAUCAGAAUUUAGUUUGGGGGAAUUCAGAGAAUGUGGUAAACUCCAGGGCAGAGACGAUGGACUCAUCCAAAGCCCCGAACGCCAAGAAGGAGCAGGAGCGUCCGGAGGUGAAGCAGGUGGUGCGUCGCAAUGUUGUGGAGGCGGAGUUUGUUCGCUCUGACGAGUCUGACGUUGAGGGGGAAUCCUGGUCCUCCGGGGAGGAACCGGUGUGA
Molecule: long non-coding RNA, 2643 nt
Organism: Cyclopterus lumpus (lumpfish)
Lineage: Eukaryota; Metazoa; Chordata; Actinopteri; Perciformes; Cyclopteridae
Source: Ensembl